RNAcentral lists this long non-coding RNA (580 nucleotides) under Rattus norvegicus (Norway rat). RNAcentral's name for it is "long non-coding RNA NONRATT028071". The record is from RNAcentral. Lineage: Eukaryota; Metazoa; Chordata; Mammalia; Rodentia; Muridae.
UAUGUUACCAAAGCUUAAGGACGGGCGCGGCGAUCUGUCACCAUGAAGGUGACCUUCUCUGUUGCCGUCCUUGUUCUAGCCAUCUCAGUGUGGACUUCCUUUGCAGUUGAUUUCUUCCUUCCUAUGGGCUUUCACACGACGGAGGAGCUUCUGAAAGAGACAAAGGCCCUGUGCGUGAAGAAUGUACAGAUGUGCUGGAUACUUACCUACUUCAAGCUCAGUGAGCCGAUAUGUGGCAGUAACCAGGUUACCUACAAUGGCGAGUGCCAUCUCUGCUCCGAAAUUCUAUUUGAAGACAGAACUAUAAUUAAAGUGCAUGAUGGGCCAUGUGAAACCUCCUCCGAUUAGUUUGGACAAAAAUAAAAGUUACUGAGUUCCCGGAGAGCACAUGGAGCAUGAUUGACUCUUCGAAGAUACCCAAUUCGGGAGACAGGGUCUGGCGUUCAGUGGUAGAGUGCACUAGUGUGCAGGAAGCCUUGGGGAGUGUUAAAAGAGAGCAGCUCCUUGAGAGAACACUUUGGUAGUAGAAGAUACUUGGAUCAAAUUCAUUGAUUUGUUUCUUCAAUAAAUGAUUCUCAGC